This 465-nucleotide ribosomal RNA is filed under the name uncultured bacterium. RNAcentral's name for it is "partial 16S ribosomal RNA". It matches the Rfam family "Bacterial small subunit ribosomal RNA", at positions 28 to 507 of the family's 1533-position model. The record is from RNAcentral.
GACGAACGCUGGCGGCGUGCUUAACACAUGCAAGUCGUACGGUAAGGCCCUUUCGGGGGUACACGAGUGGCGAACGGGUGAGUAACACGUGAGUAACCUGCCCACAACUUUGGGAUAACGCUAGGAAACUGGAGCUAAUACUGGAUAUGUGCUCCUUCUGCAUGGUGGGGGUUGGAAAGCUCCGGCGGUUGUGGAUGGACUCGCGGCCUAUCAGCUUGUUGGUGGGGUAGUGGCCUACCAAGGCGGCGACGGGUAGCCGGCCUGAGAGGGUGACCGGCCACAUUGGGACUGAGAUACGGCCCAGACUCCUACGGGAGGCAGCAGUGGGGAAUAUUGCACAAUGGGCGCGAGCCUGAUGCAGCAACGCCGCGUGCGGGAUGACGGCCUUCGGGUUGUAAACCGCUUUCAGCAGGGACGAAGCUUUUUGUGACGGUACCUGCAGAAGAAGCACCGGCUAACUACGUG